UUUAGAAAGUUAAUCUUAGUGGUUUGCAGUCAUUAGUUUUUAAAUCAUUGUUUUAAGG
RNAcentral lists this transfer RNA (58 nucleotides) under Rotaria rotatoria. RNAcentral describes it as "tRNA-Ala". Lineage: Eukaryota; Metazoa; Rotifera; Eurotatoria; Philodinida; Philodinidae. The record is from RNAcentral.